UCGCGGAAGAUCUAGGGAAAAAGAUCUCGUGGGUCCACCGGUCAGAUAGAACGGACGUUUUGGGAAGGACUUAGAAGGAUCCGACGGUGAGCUGGGGUUUGCGGGGUCGGAACUGGAGACAAGCGGGGAGGGGUCGGGUCUCAGGGGUCGGGACCGGUCGGGAGGUUGAACACUUAGGCUUGGAAAACUAGACAGGUGAUCAGGGGCUCGGAUUAAGAUUAACUGGGAAGAUUUGGGGCCGGUCGUCACAAGAAUACUAGCCGCUUAGGUCAUGUUACAGGUUGUUUAACUAACUUGUGUGCAACCGCAUCUCAAAAUCUCAGUCAUGAUGCAGUGGCGGUCGCCGACUCGUCGUGUUGGUGUAAUUAAGGUUCACCUGAACAGCACGCCUGGCCAACUCUCUCCACCUUUGCACGCCUGCGGCGUUAGUGGCCGUCGCGGCAGCUGCAGCUACUGAGGCUGCUAGUGAACGGCGACUGACGACCAACGCGAGCACUGAAAGGGAGGCGACGAGAGGUUCAUCGCUGCGCG
Molecule: long non-coding RNA, 531 nt
Filed under: Setaria viridis
Lineage: Eukaryota; Viridiplantae; Streptophyta; Magnoliopsida; Poales; Poaceae
Description: long non-coding RNA (SVIR_LNC002091)
Source: RNAcentral